AGAGUUUGAUCCUGGCUCAGAGCGAACGCUGGCGGCGUGCUUAACACAUGCAAGUCGAGUGCGCGUUUCCGUAGCAAUACGGAAAUGGCGCACGGCGCACGGGUGCGUAACACGUGGGUAAUCUGCCCUCUGAUGGGGAAUAACCCGCCGAAAGGCGGGCUAAUUCCGCAUAACAUUCCUUGGACUCCGGUUCGAGGAUUCAAAGGCGUAAGUCGUCGGAGGUGGAGCCCGCGCACGAUUAGCUAGUUGGUAGGGUAAUGGCCUACCAAGGCUAUGAUCGUUAGCUGGUCUGAGAGGAUGGCCAGCCACACUGGAACUGAGACACGGUCCAGACUCCUACGGGAGGCAGCAGUGGGGAAUCUUGCACAAUGGGCGAAAGCCUGAUGCAGCGACGCCGCGUGGGGGAUGAAGCUUCUCGGAGUGUAAACCCCUUUCGACCGGGACGAAUACCUCGCAAGAGGGGUGACGGUACCGGUAUAAGAAGCCCCGGCUAACUACGUGCCAGCAGCCGCGGUAAGACGUAGGGGGCCAGCGUUGCUCGGAAUUACUGGGUGUAAAGGGUUCGUAGGCGGUGUGGCAAGUCGGGAGUGAAAUCUCUGAGCUUAACUCAGGGGCUGCUUCCGAAACUGCCGUGCUAGAGUGUGGGAGAGGCGCGUGGAAUUGCAGGUGUAGCGGUGAAAUGCGUAGAUAUCUGCAGGAACACCCGUGGCGAAAGCGGCGCGCUGGACCACUACUGACGCUGAGGAACGAAAGCUAGGGGAGCAAACAGGAUUAGAUACCCUAGUAGUCC
Molecule: ribosomal RNA, 790 nt
Filed under: uncultured bacterium
Lineage: Bacteria
Description: bacterial SSU rRNA
Rfam family: Bacterial small subunit ribosomal RNA
Source: RNAcentral